GACGAACGCUGGCUGCGUGCUUAACACAUGCAAGUCGAACGGAACGGCCCUGCUUUUUUGGGGUUCUCGAGUGGCGAACGGGUGAGUAACACGUGAGUAACCUGCCCUUGACUUUGGUAUAACUUCCGGAAACUGGUGCUAAUACCGUAUAGGAGCUCCUGCUGCAUGGUGGGCGUUGGAAAGUUUCGGCGGUUGGGGCUGGACUCGCGGCUUAUCAGCUUGUUGGUGGGGUAGUGGCUUACCAAGGCUUUGACGGGUAGCCGGCCUGAACGGGUGGCCGGCCACAUUGGGACUGAGAUACGGCCCAGACUCCUAGGGGAGGCAGCAGUGGGGAAUAUUGCACAGUGGGCGGAAGCCUGAUGCAGCAACGCCGCGUGCGGGAUGACGGCCUUCGGGUUGUAAACCGCUUUCGCCUGUGACGAAGCGUGAGUGACGGUAAUGGGUAAAGAAGCACCGGCUAACUACGUG
This 468-nucleotide ribosomal RNA is filed under the name uncultured bacterium. Its description in RNAcentral is "partial 16S ribosomal RNA". It matches the Rfam family "Bacterial small subunit ribosomal RNA", at positions 28 to 507 of the family's 1533-position model. The record is from RNAcentral.